RNAcentral lists this ribosomal RNA (158 nucleotides) under Fusarium solani. Its description in RNAcentral is "5.8S ribosomal RNA". It matches the Rfam family "5.8S ribosomal RNA". Rfam says of the family: 5.8S ribosomal RNA (5.8S rRNA) is a component of the large subunit of the eukaryotic ribosome. It is transcribed by RNA polymerase I as part of the 45S precursor that also contains 18S and 28S rRNA. Lineage: Eukaryota; Fungi; Ascomycota; Sordariomycetes; Hypocreales; Nectriaceae. The record is from RNAcentral.
AAACUUUCAACAACGGAUCUCUUGGCUCUGGCAUCGAUGAAGAACGCAGCGAAACGCGAUAAGUAAUGCGAAUUGCAGAAUUUAGUGAAUCAUCGAAUCUUUGAACGCACAUUGCGCCCGCCAGUAUUCUGGCGGGCAUGCCUGUCCGAGCGUCAUCA